RNAcentral lists this ribosomal RNA (505 nucleotides) under uncultured bacterium. Its description in RNAcentral is "partial 16S ribosomal RNA". It matches the Rfam family "Bacterial small subunit ribosomal RNA", at positions 28 to 507 of the family's 1533-position model. The record is from RNAcentral.
GACGAACGCUGGCGGCGUGCCUAAUACAUGCAAGUAGAACGCACAGUUUAUACCGUAGCUUGCUCCACCAUAGACUGUGAGUUGCGAACGGGUGAGUAACGCGUAGGUAACCUGCCUGGUAGCGGGGGAUAACUAUUGGAAACGAUAGCUAAUACCGCAUAAUAUUAAUUAUUGCAUGAUAAUUAAUUGAAAGGUGCAAUUGCACCACUACCAGAUGGACCUGCGUUGUAUUAGCUAGUAGGUGAGGUAACGGCUCACCUAGGCGACGAUACAUAGCCGACCUGAGAGGGUGAUCGGCCACACUGGGACUGAGACACGGCCCAGACUCCUACGGGAGGCAGCAGUAGGGAAUCUUCGGCAAUGGACGAAAGUCUGACCGAGCAACGCCGCGUGAGUGAAGAAGGUGUUCGGAUCGUAAAGCUCUGUUGUAAGAGAAGAACGGGUGUGAGAGUGGAAAGUUCACACUGUGACGGUAUCUUACCAGAAAGGGACGGCUAACUACGUG